AUUGAACGCUGGCGGCAUGCCUUACACAUGCAAGUCGAACGGUAACGCGGGGCAACCUGGCGACGAGUGGCGAACGGGUGAGUAAAGCAUCGGAACGUGCCCAGUAGUGGGGGAUAGCCCGGCGAAAGCCGGAUUAAUACCGCAUACGACCUGAGGGUGAAAGCGGGGGACCGAAAGGCCUCGCGCUAUUGGAGCGGCCGAUGUCAGAUUAGGUAGUUGGUGGGGUAAAGGCCUACCAAGCCUGCGAUCUGUAGCUGGUCUGAGAGGACGACCAGCCACACUGGGACUGAGACACGGCCCAGACUCCUACGGGAGGCAGCAGUGGGGAAUUUUGGACAAUGGGCGCAAGCCUGAUCCAGCCAUGCCGCGUGCGGGAAGAAGGCCCUUCGGGGUUGUAACCCGCUUUGUCGGGGAAGAAACGCUCUGGGCUAAUACCCUGGGGUAAUGACGGUACCCGAAGAAUAAGCACCGGCUAACUACGUGCCAGCAGCCGCGGUAAU
Molecule: ribosomal RNA, 500 nt
Filed under: uncultured bacterium
Lineage: Bacteria
Description: bacterial SSU rRNA
Rfam family: Bacterial small subunit ribosomal RNA
Source: RNAcentral